Small nucleolar RNA from Panicum virgatum (switchgrass), 190 nucleotides. RefSeq annotates it as small nucleolar RNA Z112. The record is from RefSeq and is a predicted model, not a curated record. The transcript has a single exon. Lineage: Eukaryota; Viridiplantae; Streptophyta; Magnoliopsida; Poales; Poaceae.
GUCCCAGUGAAGAUCUCAAGGCCUACCGAUAGGAAGUGCCGUUUGACACUGUUACCAGCAGCUGCUUCUCCCAUCUGCAGGUGACCAUCCUUAGACCAUAACCUUUGUGGUUUGGUCUUGGGGUGUAGUUCCCAACUGCUGAUGUUUGAUUCAGAUGUGGUGUGUGAUUUAAAUCGGGUCUCUGAGGGAU